Molecule: ribosomal RNA, 253 nt
Filed under: uncultured bacterium
Lineage: Bacteria
Description: partial 16S ribosomal RNA
Rfam family: Bacterial small subunit ribosomal RNA
Source: RNAcentral
UACGUAGGGCGCAAGCGUUGUCCGGAAUUAUUGGGCGUAAAGAGCUCGUAGGCGGCCAGUUGCGUCUGCUGUGAAAUCCCGGGGCUCAACCCCGGGCGUGCAGUGGAUACGGGCUGGCUAGAGGCAGGCAGGGGAGAACGGAAUUCCCGGUAUAGCGGUGAAAUGCGCAGAUAUCGGGAGGAACACCGGUGGCGAAGGCGGCGUCCUGGACCAACACUGACACUGAUGAGCGAAAGCCAGGGGAGCAAACGGG